AUUGAACGCUGGCGGAAUGCUUUACACAUGCGAGUCGAACGGCAGCACGGACUUCGGUCUGGUGGCGAGUGGCGAACGGGUGAGUAAUGUAUCGGAACGUGCCCAGUCGUGGGGGAUAACGUAGUGAAAAUUACGCUAAUACCGCAUACGAUCUAUGGAUGAAAGCGGGGGAUCGCAAGACCUCGCGCGAUUGGAGCGGCCGAUAUCAGAUUAGGUAGUUGGUGGGGUAAAGGCCCACCAAGCCAGCGAUCUGUAGCUGGUCUGAGAGGACGACCAGCCACACUGGAACUGAGACACGGUCCAGACUCCUACGGGAGGCAGCAGUGGGGAAUUUUGGACAAUGGGCGAAAGCCUGAUCCAGCCAUUCCGCGUGCAGGAUGAAGGCCCUCGGGUUGUAAACUGCUUUUGUACAGAACGAAAAGGCUUCUACUAAUACUAGGAGCUCAUGACGGUACUGUAAGAAUAAGCACCGGCUAACUACGUGCCAGCCGCCGCAGUAA
Molecule: ribosomal RNA, 500 nt
Filed under: uncultured bacterium
Lineage: Bacteria
Description: partial 16S ribosomal RNA
Rfam family: Bacterial small subunit ribosomal RNA
Source: RNAcentral